RNAcentral lists this transfer RNA (71 nucleotides) under Flavobacteriia bacterium. RNAcentral's name for it is "tRNA-Cys". It matches the Rfam family "tRNA". Rfam says of the family: Transfer RNA (tRNA) molecules are approximately 80 nucleotides in length. The record is from RNAcentral. Lineage: Bacteria; Pseudomonadati; Bacteroidota; Flavobacteriia.
GAUGCUGUGGCCGAAAGGUGAGGCAUGGCUCAGCAAAAGCCGUUAUACUGGUUCAAAUCCGGUCAGCAUCG